UACGUAGGGCGCAAGCGUUGUUCGGAAUUACUGGGCGUAAAGGGCGCGUAGGCGGCCUGUUAAGUCGAACGUGAAAUCCCCGGGCUCAACCCGGGAACUGCGUCCGAUACUGGCAGGCUUGAAUCCGGGAGAGGGAUGCGGAAUUCCAGGUGUAGCGGUGAAAUGCAUAGAUAUCGGGAAGAACACCAAAGGCGAAGGCACCCUGCUGGGCCGAUAUUGACACUGACAGACGAAAGCUAGGGGAGCAAAUGGG
Molecule: ribosomal RNA, 253 nt
Filed under: uncultured bacterium
Lineage: Bacteria
Description: partial 16S ribosomal RNA
Rfam family: Bacterial small subunit ribosomal RNA
Source: RNAcentral